CUUGCCUUGGGGGUAACACCCAAAGUUUCUUUGCUGUGAGGACAGUGACGUGGGGCUUCUUCAAAUUUGUCUUCUGUCUUUUUUGCACUGUUAACAGAGCUUUUCAACAGACACACAAACUUUUCAACUAACGACAACAAGUUCUUACCUUCUAGAUUCAGACAGGAAUUGCCGAUUCCUCCACAGGUAAGACUGACAGCACAAUCAAAGUUGAUUGCAUCCCUGUGGGGCCAAGCAACCUUCCAUCCUAUAGGGACAGCAAUAAGUAAUGCAUCUAUAUUAGUGGCAGGACUCAGCAUUUUCUUUGUGCUGUUCUUUCUUUGUGCAAGUCUUGGUGUUUGGAGUGCACGGAAAUUGUCGAAGCGAGAUUCAUUUGACGUUACUCCUGCUGCCCCAUCUGGUGAAGCUUAGGUGACCUUAAGAACAUCAAGACAUGAGAACCGAUGAGAAAAGAAGAAAUGAAAGUCCCAUUAGUUGGUAGCUAUUUAGAGGGCUAUUAUUUCCACAAGAGCAGAAUAUUAAAAAAAAAAAUAAAUUAUUGAAACUAAAGAAAUCUUACUUUCCAAAGUUGGCACACUUAAGUUAUGUCUAUACUAAUGAAUUAAACUUAGCACAGGAAUAUUGCAACUUCUGAGACUUAGCUGGAAUAAUCCUUGUUUAUGCUUAUGUUGUGUUCUACCUAUUGGGAACAGCUCCUAGAAGGCUCUAACUUCUAAGUAACAGUCAAGUUACAUGAAUAAACAGUAUUCCAGUAGAUGGGAGUUUCCUAGACAUUGUUUAAUUUAUUAGUCUAGAUGCAUAGCCUUAUUGUUUAAUGCUAUUUCUAAAUGAUAUGUUUGAUGUAUUACUCAUUUAGGGACUGGUAUUUUCAGUGAUUAAUCAAACCUCGCCACUGCAAACUUUAAUUUACUCACAGCACUGUGUUUGGCUGCUGCAUUGUAACUGUAAAAAGCUAGUCAUUUAAAUGUAAGUCUUGUUGUCAUAAGCUUAUUACAGUGCCUUAGGCUGGAGUGUAAAUCUACAGUUGAACUGUGUUACAUUUUCUCAGUUUGCAGAUGCUCCCAUGGGAAAGAAUAUUCUCUUGCCUUGACCUUGGGCAAAAGAUGAGCAUUCACACUGAGUGAUAGUGCAGCGUAAAAUCAUUCUGGCAUGUACUUCUGAGAAACUACAUAAGUUUAAGUGUGUGAAACCCAUGUUGUGACAAAACUACUACCCAAAUUCUGUAGCCCGAACAAAGGCAUGCUGUUGUUUUCAGCACAUCAUCUGUUUUAUAAGAGGCGGAGUAAGGAAAUUUCAGGAAAAACUAUUUUUAUAGAAUGUGAAAAAUAUGUUAAGACUUUGAUAACAUUUAUCCAUUAAAGUCAGCAACUCUCUCUCUGCGGUAUUCACUCCUCUAUAUAACUGAUGAACCUUUCUUAUACAAGUUCUAAUCCUUAAUAAUAAUAAUAAUCAUCUAGACUCAAAGCUGAAACCUAAAUUUUAUUGGAAGGAUACCAUCAUUAUUUUCCUAACUGAGUAGCACGUACUGUGUCAGAGACACACAGUGGCCGGUGACUGUGGUGGGGCUCUGCCUGAGCAAUGUGGGCAGUGUGGGGAAGAAGGGGCCAGCAGACGUUUGCCCAAAGAGCUGCGUUGCUAUAGCACGUCAGGAGAAAGAGAUCUGAAGAGGUAAGUCUGAGGCAGUCUGAGGUUGCUUUAUGAGAACAUUCCUGUGUGAGCUUUAGCAAAGGAACUUCAUUUCUGAAUUUGGGAGCCUGUAGUUCAAGACAAAAUUGUUAGCGUGUUUGUACCUCAUAUUUUUCUGUGAAGAUGAAUACUUCUGAGAGCAUGCAAUGUGUAGGUUCCACAGUAAUGAAGCUAUACUGAGAAGUGUACGUAUGAAGGAAAUCACAGAUUAUGUCUGCAAAUCAUACCAAGCCAGUUAUUUUUCUAGUAACAGUAGAGAAGAAUACUGUGCCAGCUUUCAGCUUGAAUUAUCAAUUGAUGUUCUAUGCAAAUAAAAACAUGCAAGUAUUUUUUUUGACAGUCUGCGUUUACUUCAUGAGUAAAUGCUUUACUUCAAUACGUUACUUUAUUUCAGAGAAGUAAAAUGUCUCUGUACAAAGUAAUGGUUGAAAAUUAGCCACUUUUUCUAUUUUCCCAAUACAGAAAGCUGUUUGUUGUGUCCAGUUAUCAGUUUAAGAAUGAGAUAAUUAUAUGAACUGUAUCUGCAGCAGUACUAUUUAGGAUGGGAGAGUUGUGCCAUAGCUGCCUUGUAUAUUAUUUUUUUAAAUGCACAUUGUAUGUGGUUGUGUUUUUUUUCCAUUAAAUAGGAGUUUAUUAUAUGCUUAAAUGCCUUCCUAGAUACUAGAUCAGGGUGCACUAGGCAACAAACUGAAUGUGGAAGAAAUAAGAAUAAACAUUUUUCUAUUUUCCAGGAAUAAUUAAUAUAAACCAUGUUUAUAUUGCUUUUUAUUAGAUAUCUGCAAACUUAAAGGUGAAUGACUCCACUUUUGGGAAUGUUUUUGUAGUGGCUGUAUUUUAUCUGAUCUUUUACAGAACUUCUUACUAGAAGUUUAAUACACUAGCUGUUAUUUUGUGUUCACUUUUUUGUUAUUGCAUUGUUUAAUGUUUGUGUAAAAUUCCCUCUAGCUUGGGUGACCAGUCCCAUGAGAGUGGAUGCUGAAUACUUAGCCAAUAAACUACCUGUGAACUUGAAAUUAUUUGGGUAAAUGAAGCCGGUGCAACAUUUGACCUGACACAUGCACUCACAAAGCUGUUUGCUUG
This 2766-nucleotide long non-coding RNA is filed under the name Gallus gallus (chicken). RNAcentral describes it as "lncRNA (ENSGALG00010008765.1)". Lineage: Eukaryota; Metazoa; Chordata; Aves; Galliformes; Phasianidae. The record is from RNAcentral.